Molecule: ribosomal RNA, 474 nt
Filed under: uncultured bacterium
Lineage: Bacteria
Description: bacterial SSU rRNA
Rfam family: Bacterial small subunit ribosomal RNA
Source: RNAcentral
GGACGAACGCUGGCGGCGUGCCUAACACAUGCAAGUCGAGCGAUGAAAUCCUUCGGGAUGGAUUAGCGGCGGACGGGUGAGUAACACGUGGGUAACCUGCCUUGUAGAGGGGGAUAGCCUUCCGAAAGGAAGAUUAAUACCGCAUAACAUCUUUUUUAUCGCAUGGUAGAAAGAUCAAAGGAGCAAUCCGCUACAAGAUGGACCCGCGGCGCAUUAGCUAGUUGGUGAGGUAACGGCUCACCAAGGCGACGAUGCGUAGCCGACCUGAGAGGGUGAUCGGCCACAUUGGAACUGAGACACGGUCCAGACUCCUACGGGAGGCAGCAGUGGGGAAUAUUGCGCAAUGGGGGGAAACCCUGACGCAGCAACGCCGCGUGAAUGAAGAAGGCCUUAGGGUUGUAAAGUUCUGUUUACGGGGACGAUAAUGACGGUACCCGUGGAGGAAGCCACGGCUAACUACGUGCCAGCCGCCGC